UUUGAUAAAACAUUAAGGCUAUUUUUGUGACUUUUGACUUUGAGUGCUAGUUUGGGAACAAAAACUUGAUUUAGUGCUAUUUUUGUCUUUUUCUCUAAUUUAUAUUCUGUGUUAUGAUUUCUUAAUAUCCAUCAAAGGUGUGUGAUACCAAGACCCUUCUAUCGGUUUAAUCAUGAAGAAAAAACCUCAGCCCCUUACAGAUCGGUAAAGAAUCAGUAGAAGCUAUGGUUUGUUUGCGGACUACAAAUAAUAAUUUCGAGGACUUCGUCUCGAUGUGAGAUCUUUAUGCCUUGCAAAGGUAAUUCUAAUCUAUGAUUUUCUGUUUAAUAUAAUAGUUUAGAUAAUUAAACUAAGAUAAAACAGAAAUCAAAAUCUUUAGCUGAAGAGUAGGAUGGAAUGAGUUAACAAAAUCUAGUUGUAAUAUAGACGAACAACUCUUUAGGGAGAAACAGAGGGACAGGGGAUAGAAGUGAUUUAUAGAAAAGCUCAGGCAGAUGAGAAUGAGUUGUAACAUCACAUAGCAAAGGGAAGGCACACUAAUCAUGUAGUCAAUCUUAAAUGUAUGUGUUCUUAUUUAGAUAUGAUUGUCUCCUAAUUUAAAUUCAUUCAAUCAUCAUUUAGUACUAUGAUCAUAUGCUGUAUUGAACUUUUUAAAAGUGUCGCAGUAUAGACAUGGAGAGAACCAAGAAUCUGUAAUCAAAAUGCAAAAGAAGACAACAACCUUGACUGGACAAAAGACGUUUAAUACGGCUUAAUUGACUCGGCAAUGACAUGGACCUGUAUCGAUCUAAAUUGGGGUUUUGAUUCUGCAUACCAAGAUAAACCGAGGUAUUAUCUAAACUGAAAUUGGACGAGGUAUUAUCUAAACUGAAAUUGGAUGUUUAAGUUUAAUUAUGAAAAUCUAUUUAGGAGGGUCUCUAUUAA
This is a long non-coding RNA of Brassica napus (rape), 924 nucleotides long. RefSeq lists it as uncharacterized. Lineage: Eukaryota; Viridiplantae; Streptophyta; Magnoliopsida; Brassicales; Brassicaceae. The transcript has 2 exons. The record is from RefSeq and is a predicted model, not a curated record.